CUUAAUGGUAUACUUCGUUAUUGAUGAUUAAAAUUGUCCAAGAUGUCUGUGGCUUAAAGGUUAGAUGGGCUGAAGUCUCAGGGGCCUCCCGUGGUCCAGACCGCACACCCAAGACCCGAGAGGCAGCUUCAAAUCUCAGUGGUGGAAACAGGCCCAGGCCGAUGGCGGGGGUCAGAGCAAAAACUGUUGGAACCCGACGGACUCUAGGACCCGGGGACGGGGAACGAAUAGCAAAGGGGGACUGGAGGGGACAACCCCAGGGAGGUGAUGUUUACAACGGCCACUUCCGGAGACUUGACUUCUCUCAGAGACCGUCUCAGACUUGCGCCCGCCUCCCG
This is a non-coding RNA of Ceratotherium simum simum (southern white rhinoceros), 338 nucleotides long. The record is from RefSeq and is a predicted model, not a curated record. Lineage: Eukaryota; Metazoa; Chordata; Mammalia; Perissodactyla; Rhinocerotidae.